Poecilia reticulata (guppy) is the source of this 2539-nucleotide non-coding RNA. The record is from RefSeq and is a predicted model, not a curated record. Lineage: Eukaryota; Metazoa; Chordata; Actinopteri; Cyprinodontiformes; Poeciliidae.
AUAAAUAGCUGUUCCUCCAGGAUUCUGUGAUUGUUUUAGUGCUUUUUUUCUGCAACCAAAAUUACAUAUUUUGUGGUGCCAAUUUAGAAAUUAGGAAGGAAUUAGGAAUUUUUAUGACAUUUUAGCUAAUGUAUGAUAUGAAAUGUGACUUUUUAUUACAUACCAUAUCAAUUAUGGACUAUAACUCGACAUCAAGUAAGGCUGCCGUCACUUAAACUCAAUGUUUUUGACCAAUUUUGAGAAAAUUUGCACUAAAAAUCAGAAGAAGAAAAAAUGCGGAGAUUUGUUGAUUUUGUGUGAAUUUUGCAGAUUUGUGAAAAACUGGAAGAACGUAUUGAUGUAAUUUUGGAGUCUAAAGGGCCACAGAAAAUGCUACGGCGGGCCAGAUUUGGCCCCCGGGCCUUGAGUUUGACACAUGUGCUAUAAAGGGACCCAUCUGGUCCGGCCAGUGGGGGGUAGGUUGAGUCAACCACAUGGGCCCCAUCCAGGUCGCCUUGUGACUAUGCAGAAUCUGAACGGGUCCAGUCACACAUGUCAGAUCCGUGUUCAGGUCCGGUUCGGUCCCAGACCGGGACGAAAGAAACUGAGGAAUCCGCUGAUGUGGGAGCCGAAGCCACUUUUCCUCAUCUGUCUUUGAUUUUCCGUUUUCCAGGGGAAAACGUGGCUUUUGUUUAAAACCCAGUUGCGAAACUCUUGAGAGCAAAGUUUUCACAAAGCAGUUGCACAACCGGCUCUUAAUUAACUUUCCUCCUGUCGGCCAACAUGUUGCCUUAAGGGUUAAAAGCUGCUUUUCCUUCCCUCACUCCUUAUUUUCCAGUAGAAUCGUGCAUCUUGUCAUUUGAGUCUGGUUUUAGAUGCAGAUGUUCGACUUGCUCCUCCAUGUUUGCUUCUUGCAGAAAGACAGAGGAGGUGAAGGAGCGUGUAGUACCGGUGGUGACCAGCCAGGGGCAGCACAGAGCAACUUCAGCGACAAAUAACAGGAGAAAAAGAGUCCUGGGGAUAAUCAAUACCAUCUUUUAAUAUUUUCUUUCUUUGUCUUUCCUCUGUAGUGAAUCCUGGAAGGUGACGGAUGUUUUCAGUCAACAUCCUGCUGCAGGAAGUCCUUCUGCUCCUGUUGUGACCUUUAACCUUUCUAACUGCAGGUUGCCUCACAGCUGCAGGACACCAAGCAGCUUCACGGAUCCCACAUGGAGCGGUUCUGAUUCUGGUUCUGGUUCUGGUUCUGCUCUCCUGCAGAGCAGCUCUUCUGUCUCUGGAGAAAAAUGAAUCUUCACAUCAGAGCCACCGUUUCUCUGCUGCUUCCAGCGAGUUUCAGCCUCGUUCUGGGUCCGACUGUGAUGAGCUGGAUCUGAUCAGAUCACCUGGUUCUGGUUCAGUUGUCACCCCCGGACCCGAGCCGUUGGACCUGGCCACACUCGGUCCUCGGGGUAAUCUGCUCCGCUCUGCCAUAUUUGGGCCUUUAUGAGGUGAAGACAUGAUGGCUGCCAGCAAACAUCUGGUUCUGUGUAGAACCUUCACAAAGUACUGGACCCGCUCAGCAGCCGCAGACUGAUCGGGUUUUAUGUGAUGGACAAACAGCUCAGCGCAUCGAUUUAAACUGAAGCAUGAACUGACUGGAGUUACCAAAAGAAUCGAAAGCAGACGCGUUUCGUGUGGUUGCCAUGGGAACGGGCCCUGGGCAUUCAGACACAAACCUCCACCAGAUGUUCUGGUUCUGGUAUCAGAUGUCCUUCAGAGAACAACCAGCAUCAUGAAGACCAGUGAAACUUUUGCUCGUUGAUCCCAGGAUCUCUGGUUCCUCCAUCUUGACAUCACGUGACCCCAGUGACCCCUGUGACCCCUGCCUGCGUCCAGGCGUCCUCAGCAGGAAGCCAUCUUGCUCUGGGCUUAUUCACAGCAGCGUGUAUUUCCAGAGCUGACCCUCAUCUGCGGAGCCGUGAUGACGGAGGGAAGGAGAACCCAGCAGGAAGCAGGACAGGCGGGAAGAGCGGAGCAGGAAUGAAGAGAGACGACUCGGGACAGAAAACAUCCCGAGCUCCUCCAGAGAAUUUCCUCUGAUUUGUUUUCCCAUAAGUGUUGAGAGGAGAGCUCUGACAGCGAAGAGCAGAUGUUGGACCGUAAACAUGAGCCGCGCCGGCGUCAGACAGAAAACUGACCCCAGAGGUCAAACAGGGACGACCUUCUGGGAUCAGCCGCCUUCAGACGAACAGCCAUUUCAUUCUUCAGUAAUAAAACAUGAUCACAGGGACGGAGGCGUCGGCACAGUUUGAGGUCCAGGUGGAACAAAACGGAUCAGCAUCAUGUAAACUCAUAACUUCCAGGCAGCGGCUCUGGACCCGGACUCUGACUGGACGCCGGUCGGUUCUGGAACCGGACCAGCUCAGACGGAGCAGCAGAACCUCCUGAACCUCCUCUCAUUUUAAAUUCUGAUUAAAAACCAAACUGUGAUUGAUUGGUUCUCUUCUGGACAUUAAACACAUGGUUUGGUAUUUCUGGGGUAAAUUAGCAUAAAUUAAAGUAUAAAUAAUGUGGAUGGACA